Long non-coding RNA from Sinocyclocheilus grahami, 317 nucleotides. RefSeq lists it as uncharacterized. The transcript is spliced from 3 exons. The record is from RefSeq and is a predicted model, not a curated record. NCBI's taxonomy places the organism in Eukaryota, Metazoa, Chordata, Actinopteri, Cypriniformes, Cyprinidae.
GCUGGAACCGUUCGUGUGUGUGGAGUGUUGUUUGGGCGAUCGCUUCCAGCGUUGAGUUUGAUGGUCUAUCUAUGCUGAAGCUUGUACAAUUUUAACGAAUGGUCUGCAGGUCUUCCAACUACAAUUUUAGCUCACUUACAGAAAAUCGCACCAUCCAAAUUCUUCCAUUAAAAGAGAUUUACAUGUGAAUUAGCUGAAGAAAGAUAAAGAUUGUUUUCCAGGAGACCAGAGAACUGAAAUCUUUAUCAUUCCUACCAGGGAGUUUCAGCCCCUCAAAUAUGACACCAGAUCCUGUAGAAUAAGAUGGCAGUUAGAAU